This 451-nucleotide ribosomal RNA is filed under the name uncultured bacterium. RNAcentral describes it as "bacterial SSU rRNA". It matches the Rfam family "Bacterial small subunit ribosomal RNA", at positions 340 to 783 of the family's 1533-position model. The record is from RNAcentral.
UACGGGAGGCAGCAGUGGGGAAUAUUGCACAAUGGGCGCAAGCCUGAUGCAGCCAUGCCGCGUGUAUGAAGAAGGCCUUCGGGUUGUAAAGUACUUUCAGUCGUGAGGAAGGUGUUAAGGUUAAUAACCUUAGCAAUUGACGUUAGCGACAGAAGAAGCACCGGCUAACUCCGUGCCAGCAGCCGCGGUAAUACGGAGGGUGCGAGCGUUAAUCGGAAUUACUGGGCGUAAAGGGCACGCAGGCGGUUAAUUAAGUUGGAUGUGAAAUCCCCGGGCUUAACCUGGGAAUGGCAUUCAAGCUGGUUAGCUAGAGUCUUGUAGAGGGGGUAGAAUUCCAUGUGUAGCGGUGAAAUGCGUAGAGAUGUGGAGGAAUACCGGUGGCGAAGGCGGCCCCUGGACAAAGGACUGACGCUCAUGUGCGAAAGCGUGGGGAGCGAAACAGGGAUUAGAU